RNAcentral lists this ribosomal RNA (377 nucleotides) under uncultured bacterium. RNAcentral describes it as "bacterial SSU rRNA". It matches the Rfam family "Bacterial small subunit ribosomal RNA", at positions 521 to 896 of the family's 1533-position model. The record is from RNAcentral.
UAAUACGUAGGGGGCAAGCGUUGUCCGGAAUUAUUGGGCGUAAAGCGCGCGCAGGCGGUCUCUUAAGUCUGAUGUGAAAGCCCACGGCUCAACCGUGGAGGGUCAUUGGAAACUGGGAGACUUGAGUGUAGGAGAGGAAAGUGGAAUUCCACGUGUAGCGGUGAAAUGCGUAGAUAUGUGGAGGAACACCAGUGGCGAAGGCGACUUUCUGGGCUGUACCUGACGCUGAGGCGCGAAAGCGUGGGGAGCGAACCGGAUUAGAUACCCGGGUAGUCCACGCCCUAAACGAUGGAUGCUGGGUAUGAGGGGUAUCGAACCCCCUCGUGCCGAAGCUAACGCGUUAAGCAUCCCGCCUGGGGAGUACGGCCGCAAGGCUA